GACGAACGCUGGCGGCGUGCUUAACACAUGCAAGUCGAACGGAAAGGCCCUGCUUUUGUGGGGUGCUCGAGUGGCGAACGGGUGAGUAACACGUGAGUAACCUGCCCUUGACUUUGGGAUAACUUCAGGAAACUGGGGCUAAUACCGGAUCGGAGCUCCUGCUGCAUGGUGGGGGUUGGAAAGUUUCGGCGGUUGGGGAUGGACUCGCGGCUUAUCAGCUUGUUGGUGGGGUAGUGGCUUACCAAGGCUUUGACGGGUAGCCGGCCUGGGAGGGUGACCGGCCACAAUGGGACUGAGGGACGGCCCAGACUCCUACGGGGGGCAGCAGGGGGGAAUAUUGCACAAUGGGCGGGAGCCUGAUGCAGCAACGCCGCGUGUGGGAUGACGGCCUUCGGGUUGUAAACCGCUUUCGCCUGAGACGAAGCGUGAGUGACGGUAAUGGGUAAAGAAGCACCGGCUAACUACGUG
Molecule: ribosomal RNA, 468 nt
Filed under: uncultured bacterium
Lineage: Bacteria
Description: partial 16S ribosomal RNA
Rfam family: Bacterial small subunit ribosomal RNA
Source: RNAcentral